This 399-nucleotide ribosomal RNA is filed under the name uncultured bacterium. Its description in RNAcentral is "bacterial SSU rRNA". It matches the Rfam family "Bacterial small subunit ribosomal RNA", at positions 107 to 518 of the family's 1533-position model. The record is from RNAcentral.
UGAGUAACGCGUGAGCAACCUGCCUAUUAGAGGGGAAUAACAGUGAGAAAUCAUUGCUAAUACCGCAUAAGCUAGUAGUACCGCAUGGUAUAGCUAGAAAAGGAGAAAUCCGCUAAUAGAUGGGCUCGCGUCUGAUUAGCUAGUUGGUGUGGUAAAGGCAUACCAAGGCAACGAUCAGUAGCCGAGCUGAGAGGCUCUACGGCCACAUUGGGACUGAGAUACGGCCCAGACUCCUACGGGAGGCAGCAGUGGGGAAUAUUGGGCAAUGGGCGCAAGCCCUGACCCAGCAACGCCGCGUGAAGGAAGAAGGCUUUCGGGUUGUAAACUUCUUUUAUGAGGGACGAAGAACGUGACGGUACCUCAUGAAUAAGCCACGGCUAACUACGUGCCAGCCGCGGC